Long non-coding RNA from Dreissena polymorpha, 241 nucleotides. RefSeq lists it as uncharacterized. Lineage: Eukaryota; Metazoa; Mollusca; Bivalvia; Myida; Dreissenidae. The record is from RefSeq and is a predicted model, not a curated record. The transcript has 3 exons.
GAUUUAUUAUCGAGUUCUCAGAUUGUCAGAGCAACGACCAAGGUAAAACGAUGUUCUCAACUGUCACACUUGUGCUGCUCGUGUCAUGCUGCGGCGUUGCGUUGAGUAGUUGGAUACCAUAUGGGAACUCGUAUUUGCCACAACAACCUGCUGGAAAGGGAGGGUAUUGGAACUCAUAUUUGCCGCAAUAUGAGAACUAUGGGCCACAACAAUAUCAAGGUUCCUAUUGGCCUGGACCAUG